Molecule: long non-coding RNA, 205 nt
Filed under: Elaeis guineensis (African oil palm)
Lineage: Eukaryota; Viridiplantae; Streptophyta; Magnoliopsida; Arecales; Arecaceae
Description: long non-coding RNA (EGUI_LNC068185)
Source: RNAcentral
CGAUAAACCUAAGGACCUAAUUUAGCUUGAUAGUUUGAGCUUGAUUCGUUUGAGCUAACUUGUUUGGACCAAUUGACCUACUGGUGUCUAAGGUAAGUAAUUGAGAUGUGGUUAUUUAAUUGGUUCCGUUCGCUUAUCUAACUAAUUUAUUAAUAUCUAAGAAAAGCAAUGGGGGGACCUCCACCGAUCUCCACUUACUUGGCCA